GAGGAAAGUCCGGGCGCCGUCGAAACGCGGUGGUGGGUAACACCCACCGGCCGCGAGGCCAGGGAAAGUGCAACAGAAAGCAGACCGCCAUCGGGCCGGGGCAACCCAGCCUGAGGGUAAGGGUGAAACGGUGAGGUAAGAGCUCACCAGCAGGCCGGGUAACCGGUCUGGCUAGGCAAACCCCACCGGGCGCAAGGCCAAGCAGGGAGCAUGGGUGGCGGCAGCGAAUCCGUUCGCCACCGGCCGCCCACGGAUUGUUUCGAGCCGUAACAGACUUCCGGGUAGGCUGCUCGAGACGCCGAGUAAUCGUCGUCCUAGAGAAAUGGCCACCGCCCGUCGUCGCCCUCCGGGGCUUCGACGGGAACAGAAUCCGGCUUAUGAAUUCUGCACAGAACCCGGCUUA
This 403-nucleotide RNase P RNA is filed under the name unidentified bacterium CPA58. Its description in RNAcentral is "partial RNAase P". It matches the Rfam family "Bacterial RNase P class A", at positions 43 to 367 of the family's 367-position model. From Rfam's summary of the family: Ribonuclease P (RNase P) is a ubiquitous endoribonuclease, found in archaea, bacteria and eukarya as well as chloroplasts and mitochondria. Its best characterised activity is the generation of mature 5'-ends of tRNAs by cleaving the 5'-leader elements of precursor-tRNAs. Cellular RNase Ps are ribonucleoproteins. The record is from RNAcentral.